RNAcentral lists this ribosomal RNA (373 nucleotides) under uncultured organism. RNAcentral describes it as "bacterial SSU rRNA". It matches the Rfam family "Bacterial small subunit ribosomal RNA", at positions 526 to 896 of the family's 1533-position model. The record is from RNAcentral.
CAGAGGGUGCAAGCGUUGUUCGGAAUUACUGGGCGUAAAGCGCGCGCAGGCGGAUCCUGUAAGUCGGAAGCGAAAUUUCGGAGCUCAACUCCGAAGCUGCUUCUGAUACUGCGGAUCUGGAGAUCGGUAGAGGUCGGUAGAAUUACAGGUGUAGCGGUGGAAUGCGUAGGUAUCUGUAAGAAUACCCGUGGCGAAGGCGGCCGACUGGGCCGGAUCUGACGCUGAGGCGCGAAAGCGUGGGGAGCAAACAGGAUUAGAUACCCUGGUAGUCCACGCCGUAAACGAUGGGCACUAGGUGCCGGGGGGAGCGACCCCUUCGGUGCCGCAGCUAACGCGAUAAGUGCCCCGCCUGGGGAGUACGGCCGCAAGGCUG